RNAcentral lists this non-coding RNA (30 nucleotides) under Callithrix jacchus (white-tufted-ear marmoset). RNAcentral also lists the same sequence under 5 other names. The record is from RNAcentral. Lineage: Eukaryota; Metazoa; Chordata; Mammalia; Primates; Cebidae.
CGACUGCAUAAUUUGUGGUAGUGGGGGACU